CACUUUCCCAGAUAAUCAACCGCACCCAUAGAGCAAUGUUAGUGGCAGCUAAAUGCAUGAAUCCGAAUCUGGCGGCCAAACCAAACCUUUCAACCAACACCUAAAGGUGUUCAAUGUUAUGGACGUCCACUGACACUAUAACCACGACAGAUGCAGCAUAACAAAAUAAUGUGGUAUCUACCAAAGUUCAAUACUAUCGGACACUGCGUUUUAAUGUUCAUCGGUCGACGGAAACUUUCACCAAAAAUCGCAGAUAAGCCAUCAGAAGCUGGUGUCCGAAGUCUUUGAACGUGAAAUAUGCGCACGUUUCAACGAACUGAAUUGUUUCAACGAGUUGAACCGGUUCAAAGUAAAGACACC
This is a long non-coding RNA of Acyrthosiphon pisum (pea aphid), 360 nucleotides long. RefSeq lists it as uncharacterized. The record is from RefSeq and is a predicted model, not a curated record. The transcript is spliced from 4 exons. Lineage: Eukaryota; Metazoa; Arthropoda; Insecta; Hemiptera; Aphididae.